AUGCAAAAUAAGAAACAGCAGAAAAAAGCAUACUUUGAAGAGCAAAAUAUUUGGGUGAAUUGCCUCUUAUAUUUGGAGAAGCUCAGGACUUGGAAUUCUCUGAAGCAUAAACUAGCUCAUCUUCUUCUCCCCAGAGAACCCGUGAAGUAUUUGCGGAGUAUGGAGAAAGGCAGUGGAAAGUCAUGAGGAGGGCAUUUGCAUCAAAGUAUUGCCUCAGCCAAGGAGACCCCAAACAUUCUAGUUGUUCUAAGGUGAUAAGACGUGGGUUAAAACAGGGAUCCAUGCUGAGCUAGUACAGACAUUGUGAAAUGGAAAAUAAUUCUACAACUGCAAAAUAUUGGCAGUGUUUCAAAUCAAGCAAAUUCUUCCUGCUUAAAUGAUCAGUGUCUACACUAUGGCAGUGUUAUUUGCUUUCUGGAUUUUGUUUGUGUUGUCUCAUAUUUCCAGGACUGUGGUAAACAUGAAGGUCAUAAUGAACUGUUCAAGGAACAUGAGGUUUGUGGAGUUAGAGAUGUCAUCCCCAUUGCCUACAAUUGAAUCUGAGAAAUAGAAAUCUCACCCUUUCCAGCUCAUUGUUUGGCAGUGUGCCCAAUGAAGUAAUUUUCCUUUGAUUAUGCAGCCAGUCAUGAACUUAUUAUAGAUUUGAUGAUUGCAUGCUGUAUUUAUUUAUUUAUUUUCAUUAUAUGGAUUUUAUUCUGACUAGAGGCUAUACAGUAUGUUAUGCUACCCAUCAGACUUGGCUCCACAGUCAAGCUUGAACAGUUUUGAUCUUGCCAACUUAUUCAGCCUACAGUCACUCAGCCCACGACAUAUUGUCAGCUCUGCUGAAAAGAACCAAAUAAGACUUUACCAUAAUGUUUCCUCCCUGCUUCCCCACAAAAGACAGUACAUUUCUUGAAACAGAUUGGGCAGAAGUUCUUGUGGUACUUGGCCAAGAGCUCUGUUAAUAUUUCAUGGGCUCAAAAGAAGCAGCCUGGUCAUGUUAACUGUUGAGUGCUGAAGGGGAGCCAGGAAGAGAACAAUUCUUUCUCAUGGAGUUACAGGAAUACUCUGCUCAUAAUAUAUCUAUAUUUUUAUGAGCUACAGCAAACUGUGAACACAGGAGGAAAUGUAAUUUCCCCUAUAAUGCUGUGCUGAAGAGAAACAACGUGUCCUAAGAUCACAGAAUAAGGGCUACUGAACUGCACAUGAGGAAUAAAAUCCUCCAUAGGCACCCAUUCUGCACAUGUCAACAUUAUCCAGUGCAAGCUGAGAACGUUCUUCAGAAGUGUUCUCAGGAUAAUCCUCAAAGCUUUGCAGAAAAGGUGCAUUUCAAGAUGAGAUUGCUCUCAGCAGUUGCCAUCAACUGAACAGAAACACCAAAAAAAGUAGAAGUGUUUUCCUAAACACCCGCAACCUUACAGAUCUCCUCACCUUAGGUGUUUCAGUGUACCUGAAGAGAACCAUAGGAAGCCAACUGGCACCAGGAUCCCACACAUUAGGCCCUGAUCAUAGAAUGGC
RNAcentral lists this long non-coding RNA (1500 nucleotides) under Meleagris gallopavo (turkey). RNAcentral's name for it is "lncRNA (ENSMGAG00000019416.1)". The record is from RNAcentral. Lineage: Eukaryota; Metazoa; Chordata; Aves; Galliformes; Phasianidae.